Long non-coding RNA from Haemorhous mexicanus (house finch), 528 nucleotides. RefSeq lists it as uncharacterized. The transcript is spliced from 2 exons. The record is from RefSeq and is a predicted model, not a curated record. Lineage: Eukaryota; Metazoa; Chordata; Aves; Passeriformes; Fringillidae.
GCACCGCUGCCACCCUCUGGCAGCCAUGACCUGGGGCGGCAGCCUGUGCCAGGGGCCCGGGCUGAGCCCUGCCGGGCCAGCAGGCCCUGUGGCCUCAGGGCUGGCAGCACCCGUGUGCGGCAGCUGUGGCUCUGAAGGCAGGACUCGCUCUGUGUUCCCAAGGGAUCGCCGGGCGCUACCUGACAGGGCAGCAGCCAGAGUUCCGGAUCAUCUGCAUGGCCCUUCAGGACAUGACGGAUGACACCAGCCCUACCGUCUCAUGCCUGGCACUUCAAACUCUGUACAUCAAUUUAGCUGUACAGAGCAUUCCCUCCUCCCGACUCCAGAAGAUGCGAGACCAACUCCGCCAGCUCUGGAAGUCGCGGCCUUUCCUGUUUCACCGUGGCUGAGUGUCCUGCUGCGGCGCCGUGGAGAAGUGAUCCGGGAGGCUGCGUCUGCUGGGGCCACCUGAACCUGCGGGGAACACCUCUCCUCUGCAAGCACUUCCUUUCCCACCCUCUAUAGGAACAUUAAAUUGCUGUUGUCAUA